UUAUGCGAUGGAGAGAUUAUUAAUAAUCAAUAUAAAACUUAUCUGAUUAUCAAAAUUAAUAAUGUAAAAAAUAUGAACUGGUCUGUUGUACUUUAGAGAGACGUUUUGAAUAAUUUGAGUGACGGGUUUAAUCAUUGAUGGAAAACCAAAGACAUAAUCAUCCAAGUUUCAAUUUUAUUGUUUUUACUGAUUAAGAGGUUUUGGUUUGUAGUCUAGCCAUAUCGUAAGAGUAUCUUCAACUUCAUUUGUCAUUAUCUGAUAAAGUAAAACAUUAAAAUAAUUUAUUUAUUUUUGUUAUUUAUGUUACUUUUUAUUUUAAAAUGAAGGAUUGAAAUAAA
RNAcentral lists this long non-coding RNA (338 nucleotides) under Brassica napus (rape). Its description in RNAcentral is "long non-coding RNA (BNAP_LNC008041)". Lineage: Eukaryota; Viridiplantae; Streptophyta; Magnoliopsida; Brassicales; Brassicaceae. The record is from RNAcentral.